CCCCUAGAUGUUCUGGGCCGCACGCGCGCUACACUGACUACUUCAACGAGUUGUUUCCUUGAUCGAAAGGUCUGGGUAAUCUUUGAAAGGUAGUCGUGAUGGGGAUAGAUCCUUGCAAUUUUUGAUCUUCAACGAGGAAUUCCUAGUAAACGCAAGUCAUCAGCUUGCAUUGAUUACGUCCCUGCCCUUUGUACACACCGCCCGUCGCACCUACCGAUUGAAUGGUCCGGUGAAUCUUUAGGACUGUGGCUGAGGCCUUGCCUUGUGCGGGUCUGGCCGUGGGAAUUUAGUUAAACCUUACCAUUUAGAGGAAGGUGAANUCGUAACA
This 328-nucleotide ribosomal RNA is filed under the name uncultured eukaryote. RNAcentral describes it as "partial 18S ribosomal RNA". It matches the Rfam family "Eukaryotic small subunit ribosomal RNA", at positions 1470 to 1796 of the family's 1831-position model. The record is from RNAcentral.